Myotis lucifugus (little brown bat) is the source of this 35-nucleotide non-coding RNA. The record is from Rfam. Lineage: Eukaryota; Metazoa; Chordata; Mammalia; Chiroptera; Vespertilionidae.
CUGUCUCUUGCUUCAACAGUGCUUGGACGGAACAG